RNAcentral lists this long non-coding RNA (989 nucleotides) under Oncorhynchus kisutch (coho salmon). RNAcentral describes it as "lncRNA (ENSOKIG00005001870.1)". Lineage: Eukaryota; Metazoa; Chordata; Actinopteri; Salmoniformes; Salmonidae. The record is from RNAcentral.
UGCAUAGUCUGGUAUCUGUUUACAGUCAUUUCUAGCAAUGAAUUAAGUUAAUUAAUCAGACAAAAGUUUGCAUUGUUGGAGCUUUUAGCUGACGUCACUUUUGUGCCUUGAAGUGAAGCUGAACAAACCUUGAGAAGAGUCUCCUUCAAUCUGCCGUAUAGUAGUAGCCUAACUAACACACACACUCAAUUACAGCCCAAUUUCGUUCUUUAUAAUCUACUGGCACUGUCCGCAAACAACGCAAAUCUGGGGGAACAUAACGCUAUUCUAACAUAGUAACUGACGCGAAGGAGGAUACAUAAAGUGACGGAAAUUAGAUAUGGAGUCUGGAGAGCGGCUGGCCUCCCCAUCGUCAGCCCCGUCCUCCCUGCAUAUCACCACGUCCGCGGUCUCCUCCGUCGGCUCCUCACCUGCCUCGGCCAAGACACCCUCCUCAAAGUGCAGCGUCACCCCCACCCACGCCGCUCUGGGCUCCCCUCUCACCACCUGUGGUACGUAAACACACACACACACACACACACACACACACACACACACACACACACACACACAGAUCAAUCACGCUACAUGCGAAUACAUGAGCUAUAUUCACCUCUAACUCAUCAUAUUUCAUUAUUCUCCAACUACAAAUUAAACAAGAAAAGAGCAUUCUUUAGUGUUAAUUAUGAGGGUUCAGUAAGAUGAAGAAAGCACCGUCUUCUCACACUUUAUUUCCUGACAGUUUGUGGAGAAAUUAAAAAGCUUUAGCAUUAAUCGACACCAGCAAUGAAAAAUCCUCUGUGUAAGACGUCGCACACCCGCUCUGUUUCUUGACAACCUUUAGCACCAGUUUAGCCCGUUGUGAUUUGACAGGUCUGUCAGCCAAAUAGAGUGCUGUGGCCUCCGCUGCCUCAAACAUCCUCUGUUUUCUCUGAAUACUAAUUGUGUCCGACGCUAUUGUGGCGAGCAGCGGUGAUGCAUAAACUGUCAGGUUACCCUGACCAGAAAAU